CGGGCGACAUGUUCGGAGCGGCGUCACCGGCGCCGUCGUGCUCGUCGUCGUCCGGCACUAUGAGCCAAUACGCGUCAGCAACGAAUCUCCGCGAUCUGUGCAACGACGAUGAGGAGGAGGAGCGAAAUCCGGACGAAGUGUUCGACGCCAUUGAAGGAGAUGAGAUGAUCGACGCCAAGGCGGAGGAAUUCAUCGCUCAAUUUUACAGAUCGAUCGACCACCAGAACUCAAUCCACCGCCAAAAUAGGGGACUAUAAGAAUCGAUCCACACACACAUGGUGUGUUGGAGGUGACAUGAUCAUUCAGUAGAAAAUGAAUGCUUGAUUUAGCACAUAAUGUACUCGCACUCAACGUAUACACGUUAGGUAUGUGCGUAUUUCGAUUAUCACUAUAUUUCACAUGAAGUAACAUGAAUAAAACUCGUAUACACAUUACAUAUAUACGUAUUCUCAUACAUAUAUACACAUUCAUUUAUUCAAUCGGUGGGAAAUAACAAAUAUUUGUGCAGUAUAAUCACCAUAUAUAUUUAGAGGUAAUCUCCUGCACACCCGGGUGUAUCGUAUAUUCGGAUUGUACCAGACUCGGAUCCUGACUCAGUUGGACUAUUCUGACCCAUUUUUUCUUGAAAUGACACUAACACUAACACUAACACGAUCUUGGAAUGACACUAAUUAACACUAUUUUAUUUUACAAAUGACACUAUUUCGAAAAUAACACUACCACUAUUUUGUUUUACAAAUGACACUCACACUAUAUUGAAAUGACACUAACACUACGUGUAAAAUGACACUAUCACUACAAGUAAAUGACACUAAUAUUUGACAUUCGGGUAGAUGGUCCAAUUGAGUUAGAUCCGGAUCAGGAUUCAGGUCAGAUACGACCCCGGUGUACCGUACACCCGGAUGUACUGGAGAUUUUGUGAUAUAUUUAUACCUUAACUAGCAUUUGCACAUAGCAUGUGAAACGUUUUAUAAAUUUAAUGGGAAAAUACUUUAUGUUGUGAUGUAAUUAUUACUUUAUGUUAUUUGUACGGUAAUAGUAUAAAAUAUUUGGGCAAAUUGCAUGAAAAUACCUCACUUUAUACCAAGAUUUGGUUUUUUGACAAUCUUUUCAAUUGUAGCAAAAAUUUGAACUACCUUUCAAUUUGUUGCAAUUGACUUCCGGAGUAAUUUUCCGGCCAACUAAAUGCUGAUGUGGAUUCCCGUAAAGUUGAUGUGGCAUGCCUCGCCGGACGACAAAUUGUAUGAAAAUACCCCACUUUAUACCAAAAUCUGGUUUUUUGACAAUUCUUUUUAAUGUAGCAAAAAUUUGAACUACCUUUCAAUUUGUUGCAAUUGACUUCUAGAGUAAUUUUCCGGCCAACUUAAUACUGAUGUGGAUUCCCGUAAAGUUGAUAGUUGGCAUGCCUCGCCGGCUAAUCAAACGACAACGUCUCUAAUUACCUUAAACGAUGUCGUUUUCCACGAUUUUAAGCAAAUUACAAUUUCUAGUUUUAUAUAUUUGUCGAUUAGGGCUUCAAAUGUCCUCAUUUCUUCUCCCAAAUUUUCUCAUCUCAGUUGAAAUUCUUGUUCCAUAAAUUCUCAUUUGCAGCAAAAAUCUUUGAACUGAUGGAUUCUUCUUCUCAAACGGGACGACUGAGCUCAUACAAUUUCCCCUUACCUCCAAAAUUCUGCAGAUGCGAAGAACCAGAGCCGUGNCUCAUUUGCAGCAAAAAUCUUUGAACUGAUGGAUUCUUCUUCUCAAACGGGACGACUGAGCUCAUACAAUUUCCCCUUAAUUACCUCCAAAAUUCUGCAGAUGCGAAGAACCAGAGCCGUGCAUCUUGCAGGCUUCAAAUAGUGUGACUAAUCCGGAGAGGCGCUACUUCUCAUCAUGUACAAAAACACCCACAUCAAGUAUCUUGUACUCUUUAAAAUAUACUUUUAUUUAAUUCAUAUGUUUUUUUUUCUUUAGAAAAUUUAUGGAACAAGAAUUUCAACUGAGAUGAGAAAAUUUGGGAGAAGAAAUGAGGACAUUUGAAGCCCUAAUCGACAAAUAUAUAAAACUAGAAAUUGUAAUUUGCUUAAAAUCGUGGAAAACGACAUCUUUUAAGGUAAUUAGAGACGUUGUCGUUUGAUUAGCCGGCGAGGCAUGCCACAUCAACUUUACGGGAAUCCACAUCAGCAUUAAGUUGGCCGAAAAAUUACUCCGGAAGUCAAUUGCAACAAAUUGAAAGGUAGUUCAAAUU
RNAcentral lists this long non-coding RNA (2227 nucleotides) under Salvia miltiorrhiza (redroot sage). RNAcentral's name for it is "long non-coding RNA (SMIL_LNC006826)". Lineage: Eukaryota; Viridiplantae; Streptophyta; Magnoliopsida; Lamiales; Lamiaceae. The record is from RNAcentral.